RNAcentral lists this unclassified non-coding RNA (2155 nucleotides) under Hevea brasiliensis (rubber tree). Lineage: Eukaryota; Viridiplantae; Streptophyta; Magnoliopsida; Malpighiales; Euphorbiaceae. The record is from RNAcentral.
AAAAAAAAAAAAAGAAAAAAAAUUUAAAAAAAAAAAAACUUUAAUUCAGAAAACAAGACUUAAAAUUUAUACAUUUUACCUCAUAAAUUUUAAAUUAAAUGAUAUACAUAGAUUGCAAACACACUCAACACGAAGGCACAAGGGAGGGCAUUCAAACGCCGUAGACGGCCAUGAAAAAUGGGGAACACAUCAUACUGACUGGAGACCUCGGCUUAACGAUUGAUAACCAUAACCCCAAAAAACAACGGCCCACGGGAAAGGGAAUUGAAGCCAAACCACACAGUUGAGGGGUAUACUGAAAAGUCACAGAUUCUUCACUAGGGGGAAGAGGAGAUUGACGAAGCACCACAGGACCAAGACUCGGCAGAAGCCUGAAGGAACCGUCCCAAGCACAAAGAGCCCUAGAUCAGAGAGAUCCACACCAGCCAUCCAAACAAAGCAAGCAAGCACCAAACCAUGUUCACUGAAAAAACAGAGGGUGGUCCUCCGGCUAUCUCGCUCUCUUAUAGAGUUUUCGAUAUUCAAAGCUGUAAAAACAAUGCCAUGAACGUCUCCAACAUACUCCUCCCCCACACAGAUUCACAAGCAACAAACUAAAACACAAACAGCAGGUAAAAGGUACCUAACAUCCAAGUAAAGGAGGGAGGCCACUCCUACCCAAAAGGGACGGGGACGACCACUGAACGGCAGUGAGAAAGAAGAUUCGCCUCCGGAAAGAGUAAAAUCCAGAGAAAAAAAAAGUCUGAUGAGUGCAACUAGCUGAAAAAUAAAAAUAAUUCUACACUUGAUGUAAUAUAUACAUGUAUUAGAAGUCGAUCAAAUAUGAUACCCAACGAAGCCAAUUAGUAAGCAUACAAUCCAUAAAAUAAAUCGGAUAGCUUUUUGAAAUUUAUUUUUCAACCAUAAAAUAAAUUCAAAACCAAGGCAAAGGCAAUCUCACCAUUGUUUCUACAGCUAACACUAUAAAAAUUUUAAGUUCAAAAAACCAUUAUUCAGUGCCGAGUAUUUCAAAAAAAGAUCUACACUUGCCUGUAACUAAAAGACACACAACAUACUUAGAAAUCAUAGAACGUUUAGUACAUUAAACCAAGCAACAAGGCUCGCGCCACCGCCAACGAGAGCACACUAGCUUUCAGAGCUGUAGGAUGUCUCACCUACUGACAGAUUUUCUCUCUGCUGACGCUUCAGCUCAUCGUAUGCCCAUUCAAGACCAGGGCAGUAAUGGAGUGGUGGAUUAAAUCUCAUAUCAUUCAUGUCAUCAGGCAAGAAUGCCCCAUUCUCCAGAAGGAAUUUGAUGGCUUCUCUCUUCCUUUCUUUUGCUGCAUUGUGAAGUGGAGUCCAGCCACAGGCACCCCAGGUUCUAGCAUCAAUGUCAGCACCACGCUCAAGCAAUUCAUCCAUAACCUCAACAUGGCCUCCCUUAGCAGCUAGGUGGAGAGGGGACACCCCUUUUGAUUUGGGACCCCAUGCAGGUGCAUUAACAUCCAUUCCUUUAUCAAGUAACCGCUUCACCUCUUUAAGAUCACCUUUUCUGGCACCGAUAUGAAGCAAAGUCCAACCUCGGUCAUCCCUAUCGACUCUUGACCUAAAACUCCGUCUUUUCGACAGACUACGCCUCAGUAAAACCGAAACGGUAUCCAACUGCUCCUGGGGCAUCCUCGUUUUCUUCCUUCCAAUUUAUCAAUCAACGAUGAAAAAUAAUCACAAUACACAAUCUCAGAGGAAAAACGCAACGAUUGAGAAAUCCCCAAAAGCUUGAGAAGGAUUAUAAGAAGACGAUGAAGAACAAAACCACUAAUUUACAUGUUUUUUUUUUUGGAAAAAUUAGCGAGAAGCAAGAAAAUGAUUGGCAAUGCAAUAGGGAGCGAAAGGAUUCAAACCGGGUCCAAAAACACGGAGAUUUUCGAAGAUAACGACGGAAACGAUGGCGGAUGAUGAAGAAAUUACGAACAUAAUUCUUGUUCUUCAAAAAAAAUCCCAAAUUUUGACGAUAUAAACCGAUUAGACGAAAUUGGAGUGAUUAGAGAAAUCCUGGUCUGAUAUGGAGAGAAUUUGAAGGGAACAUAAAGGACGCCGCACCAGAAACCCUAAAAUCCAAGAAAGAGAGAUUUUUUUGUUUUUGUGUUGAAAUUUGCUCAAUUGCAGAAGAUUGGCG